GACGAACGCUGGCGGCGUGCCUAAUACAUGCAAGUCGAGCGCUUGCAACUUGAGAAAGCUUGCUUUCUCAAGUUGCUGGAGCGGCGGACGGGUGAGUAACACGUGGGCAACCUGCCUAUAAGACUGGGAUAACUUCGGGAAACCGGAGCUAAUACCGGAUAAUCCUUUUCCUUUCAUGAGGGAAAGCUGAAAGACGGCUUCUCGCUGUCACUUAUAGAUGGGCCCGCGGCGCAUUAGCUAGUUGGUGAGGUAACGGCUCACCAAGGCGACGAUCAGUAGCUGGUCUGAGAGGAUGAUCAGCCACAUUGGGACUGAGACACGGCCCAAACUCCUACGGGAGGCAGCAGUGGGGAAUAUUGGACAAUGGGCGCAAGCCUGAUCCAGCCAUGCCGCGUGAGUGAU
This 402-nucleotide ribosomal RNA is filed under the name uncultured bacterium. Its description in RNAcentral is "bacterial SSU rRNA". It matches the Rfam family "Bacterial small subunit ribosomal RNA", at positions 28 to 409 of the family's 1533-position model. The record is from RNAcentral.